This 378-nucleotide long non-coding RNA is filed under the name Equus caballus (horse). Its description in RNAcentral is "lncRNA (ENSECAG00000055871.1)". Lineage: Eukaryota; Metazoa; Chordata; Mammalia; Perissodactyla; Equidae. The record is from RNAcentral.
GUUCUCUUGCAUCGCUUGCUCCAGGGGAAGCCAUCUGCCAUGCUGGAGGACACCCAAGCAGCAAUGUGCAGAGGCCCACGUGGAGAGAAACUGAGCCUUCCUAGUCACAGCCACCAACUUGCCACCCAGGAACAAAAAAAGGUGGUCCUUUCACCCUCUCUUCCUGCUUCCUGCUGCCUGAGACAGAGAUGUGAUGAUCGGAGCUAUCGGAGGCAUCUCAGACUUGGAGGUGACCUUGAAGCCGUGUGCUGAGGAGGUGGAGCAGAUCGACAUCUUGAUGACGCCAUUGAGCCACCAUGUCAAUAGUGGCCUGGCCUACUUCCAGAUGUUUUGUUUUUUUUACCUGGGAGAAAAAUAAACUUCUAUCUUACGUAAGCC